UUCUCCGUGAUGAGUCUGAAGACACGACAAUUUCUCGACAAGGAGGGCAAAACUUCAAAGUCAAUUACUCAAUCAACUCAUUCGGUAGUAUCAAAAUUCAAGCAUGUGCGAUCUGCCAAGAACACAAAUAUUGACGUCCAUUUAUUAAGCAAGUGGUGGUGAUUUGCGAUCUGCCAUGGUCUACACGCAAGGGAGGAAAAUUAAUUGUAUUAAAUGAGUCCACGUUAUCGUGACAUUCCGGUCUAAAAAUGCAACUUUUCCAGUUGUUCGGUCUCUCUUACUAUCUUCUCUCUUCAUCUUGCUUGCGUCUGUCAUCGUCGUGUUCUCUUCGCGCCUUUGUUGCUCUUCACUUCUUCAGUCGUUUGGUCUCUCUUGCUAUCUUCUCUCUUCAUCUCGCUCAGUCUCAAACUGGAUAGUUUUGCGCAGCUUCAAAUCAACCUCUCUCCUCUCAGUCAGGUCACUCUGUUUCUUCUACAGUUCCAGGACGAGUUCGUCGCAGCCAAAGUUGAUACUUUUGAUUCCAAAGUUGCCUCCUUUAUAUCUCACAAAGCAGUGCCGAAAUUCUCACAAGUGCAGUGGUUAAAGAAGAGUACAAGAAAAAGUUCUGUUUAUUUCUCCAUAAAAGAUUAAGAAAGUUGGUAGCCACGAAUUAACUCACUAUCAACUUUAUACCAACAUUGGAGCGUGCCUUAAAAGUGCCCCGUGCCAGCUCCCCAUUCCUAUGCUAAUUGCCAGAGGAAAAACAUUUUCAGGCCCUAUGCCAACAUCGUACCCUUGCCCGUGCCGAAAUCUAUCCCUUUUCCCGUAGCGGAAUAGGGACCACUAGACAGCGCAACCACGCAUACAAUACUUCGAGAUCGAAAGUAUUUUUUAAGAUUGAUGCUUACAAAAGUAAAGGUAACAACAAUAUCAGGGCAAUCAGAUGUGAUUGAAGGCUUAGGGAAAGCAUAGAUUAUGUUACAAAAUUGAGCAAUAUUGUCCAUACAGAAUGCGUUGUACGCAACUAGAUCUACUCGAAAUUUGUUGAGUUUUAAAGACAUAUGUUUAAAUGGAUAUUACAUUGAAACAAAAAGUGCUGAAAAUGUGAAGUAUAUAUGCAUUACCUUCAAUGAUACCCAAAAACGUAUAUUAGAGACUUUGCGUGGUUUGACAAGUGGAUUGUAUUAUACAUACAUAAAAACUGUUGAAUCACAUACUGUCAUGAACCAGAAGUUCAUUGAUUCAAAAGUUUACAUGUUUUGUCAUGACCGUCUGGGUUACCCAGGAUCUACCAUGAUGCGUAGAAUCAUUACCAACUUUAAUGAACAUCCACUAUUGAGAAGACACAUUACUAUCUCAAACAAUAACCUUUGCAAGGCUUGUUCUCUAGGGAAGUUAGUAAUUAGACUAUCACAACUAAAGGUUGAUGUUGAAUCUCUAUCAUUUCUACAAAGAAUUCAAAGGGAUAUUUGGAGGCCUAUUCAACCAUCUUGUGGACCAUUUCGAUAUUUUAUGGUUUUGGUUGAUGCAUCUACCUGAUGGUCACAUGUUUGUCUCUUGUCUACUCGAAAUGUAGCUUUUGCGAGACUUCUUACUUAGAUAAUUAAGUUGCGAGCAUAGUUCCCGGAUUAUCCCAUUAAGUCAAUCCGACUUGAUAACGUAGGUAAAUUUACGUCUCAAACUUUUGAUGAUUACUGCAUGACAUUGGGCAUUGUUGUUGAACACCGUGUUCCUCAUGUCUAUACUCAAAAUGGUUUAGCAGAAACAUUGAUCAAGUAGCUUUAGUUAAUAGCCCAGACUCUGCUUAUGAAAACAAAAUUGCUAGUUUUUGCAUUGGGACAAACGAUCUUACAUGCUGCAUCAUUGGUUCGAUUGAGGCAUAUAGCCAACCACUAAUACUCAUCAGUACAACUCGUGUUUGGGCAUCAGCGAAACAUUUCACAUUUACAAGUUUUUAGUUAUGCUGUUUAUGUACCUAUUACACCACCAUAACGCACUAAAAUGAGACAGUGCAGACUAAGAAUUUAUGUAGGUUUUGAUUCACCAUCUAUCAUUAGAUAUUUGGAAACCUUGACAAGUGAUAUGUUUACAGUUCAUUUUGCUGAUUGUCACUUUGGUGAAACAGUCUUCCCGUUAUUAGGUGGGAGAAAAGACCGUUCCAGAAGAACGACAAAAGCUGACAUAGGUUGUUCCCACCUUAUCUCAUUUUGAUCAACGUAGCACUCAAUGUGAAAAUGAAGUGAAAAGGAUCGUUCAUCUUCAAAGUAUUGCCAAUCAAAUGCCAGAUGCAUUUAAUGAUGCUAAGAAAGUGACAAAAUCAUAUAUACCAGUUGCAAAUGCACCUGCGAGAAUUGAUGGCCCUGUUGAACAAAAUAAAGUGGCAGCGAAUGAUUUAUUUAGUGCACGCCUAAAGCGUGGUAGACCACUAGGUUCAAAAGAUUCAGCCCUUCGAUAGAGAAAGACGAGGGCACAACUGAAUCCAAAUGAAAUCAUUCAAGAAGAAAAAAUGAAUGACACAUCCACAAUUCAUGAUUUUGUACUUUCAGAAAAAUAAAAUGUCCUUGAUGAGACACAUGUACCUGAAGAAACAGAGGUACAUGAAAACAAAGAAAUCUCUAUAAAUCAUGUUUGUACUAAUGAAUUGUGGGAUCAGAAUGAAAUAAUCAUAUAUGACAUGUUCGUAUUCGUAGUAGCCACUAAAAUCAUAUUAAGUGAUGAUCUUGAGCCCCGCUCUCCUGAUGAAUGCAAACAGCAGCAAGAUUGGCCUAAGUAGAAAGAUGCAAUCCAGGCUGAAUUAAAUUCCUUGGAAAGGCGAAAUGUUUUUGGACUAGUAGUCCAAACCCUACCUGGUGUAAACCCCGUGGGCUACAAAUGGGUAUUCACAAGGAAACGCAAUGAGAAAAACGAGAUUGCAAGAUAUAAAGCACGACUUGUUGAACAAGACUUUUUGCAAAGGCCUGUAAUUGAUUAUGAGAAGACAUACUCCCCUAUAAUAGACGCAAUUACGUUCCGUUACUUAAUAAGUUUAGUGGUUUUAGAAAAACUUGACAUGCGACUUAUAGAUGUCAUCACCGCAUAUCUAUAUGGAGAAUUAGAUACUGACAUAUACAUGAAAGUCCCAGAAUGACUUAAGUUGCAUGAAACAACUAACAAACCACGACGUAUGCUCUCUAUCAAAUUAAGGCGAUCAUUGUAUGGGUUGAAACAAUCUGGACGAAUGUAGUAUAAUUGUCUCAGUAAGUAUUUGAUCAAAGAAUGGAUAUCAACAAUGUCAGUUGCCCUUGUGUGAUCAUUAAGAAAUCCAACUCUGGAUUUGCUAUAGUGGCAGUAUAUGUUGAUGAUAUAAACCUAGUUGGAACCCUUGAAGAGCUUAAUAAAACUGCGGAAUAUCUUAAAAGUGAAUUUGAAAUGAAAGACCUUCGAAAAAUAAAAUUUUGUCUCGGCUUGCAGAUCGAGCAUUGUGCUAGUGGAAUUUUGGUCCACCAAUCAGCUUACAUUGAAAAACUCCUGAAGCGAUUUAAUAUAGACAAGGCUUAUCCACUCAGCAUGCCAAUGAUCAUUCGUUCUAUAGGCAUUAAGAAAGAUCCAUUCCGUCUAAAAGAAAAUGAUGAAUUGGUCAUUGGUCCAAAAGUACCAUAUUUGAGUGCAAUAGGUGCUUUAUUGUAUUUAGCAUAAUGUACUAGACCAGAUAUAGCUUUUUCAGUCAAUUUGUUAGCAAGGUAUAUCUCUACUCCAACAAUUCGUCAUUGGAAGGGAGUCAAAGAUGUAUUGCGAUACCUUCGUGGAACAACAUAUAUGGGUCUUUUCUACUCAAAGAAAUCCACAAAUAACCAGAUCCUUGUUGGAUAUACAGAUGCUGGUUUUCUCUCUGAUCUGCAUAAAGCCCGCUCACAAACUGGAUAUGUGCUCAAGAAUAGAGAUACAACAAUCUCAUGAAGCUCAAUAAAACAAACAUUAGUUGCUAGAUCUUCAAAUCAUUCAAAAAUACUUGCUUUACAUGAAGCAAGUCAUGAAUGUGGUUAAGAUCAAUGAUCUAUCAUAUUCAGAAUUCAUGUGAUCUACCUUCAAAGACAGAUACUCCAACUGUCAGUCAUGAAGAUAAUGCAGCCUGUGUUGCCCAAAUGAAGGAAGGAUUCAUCAAAGGUGAUAAGACUAAACACAUAUCUCCAAAGUUUUUUAGUGUACAUGAGCUUCAGAAGGCUAAAGUUAUUAAAGUUAGACAAAUCCGUUCCAAUGAAAAUUAGGCAGAUUUGUUCAUCAAAUCUCUACCAAAGUGCACGUUUCAGAAGAUAGUGCAUAGUAUCAGAUUAUGUCGACUUAUUAAACAGCUAAAUUUGGAGAAUGCAGAAUUAGAGGGAGAUAUAUAUCGAGGGGAACAUCCAUGAUACGUGCAUGUUGUACUCUUUUUCCUUCAAUUAAGAUUUUUCCCACUGGGCUUUUCCUAUCAAGGUUUUAACGAGGCAACAUAAGCAUAUUUAACAUUAUAUCAACAAUCCAAGUAAAGUUGUACUCUUUUUCUUUUGCUAUGGUUUUUUCCCACUGGGUUUUUCCAAGCAAGGUUUUAAUGGGACAACUAAUGUUGAUAUGUGGGUAUCCAAGGGGAAGUAUUGAAAACAUUGGCAUUGUUAUGAAUGCCCACACACAAACUUUUCAAUGCCCACAAAUGUGAUGUAGAAUUUGGAAACAAAAAGAUCGUAUUUUCAAAGUCAUGUGAUGUAAAUUUCAAAAUGUAAUAAUGCGAGUUGCUUUAUAAAUAGAGCAGUCGACUGCAAUCAAAACACAGAGAAAGAAAGGAAAGAUCAAUAAGAUCAUUAUCUAUUCCUA
Molecule: RNA transcript, 4803 nt
Organism: Pyrus x bretschneideri (Chinese white pear)
Lineage: Eukaryota; Viridiplantae; Streptophyta; Magnoliopsida; Rosales; Rosaceae
Gene name: probable LRR receptor-like serine/threonine-protein kinase At3g47570
Exons: 7
Source: RefSeq, a predicted model, not a curated record